Molecule: long non-coding RNA, 5800 nt
Filed under: Sus scrofa (pig)
Lineage: Eukaryota; Metazoa; Chordata; Mammalia; Artiodactyla; Suidae
Description: lncRNA (ENSSSCG00000060452.1)
Source: RNAcentral
UACGGUUUUCUUGUACAUUUUAAAAAAUUCAAGGUAGUUAUUUAAUUUAUAUAAGGCUGUUCAUGUUUGAUUUUUAAAGAUUAAGACUUUCCAUUCUAAAAGACCGAUACAUUGACAGAUGGAUAGGUAGAUAGAUAGACAGACAGAUACACACACACAAAGAAAAACAAUAAUUAGCAAAAUUUACUUCUCAGUGAAUAGAAUUUUUAAAAUUGGGUCUUUUAACCUUUUUGUCUGUGACAUAUAAAAACUUUGCUCUUUGAUAUAAAAUCUUGAUUUUUCAGAGAUAUAGAAAUAAAAAUAAAAAAGCCUAAAUAACACAACACAACAUUCUAAAUCAACUAUACUCCAAUAAAACUUUUAAAAAAUUAAAAAGCCUAUUGCUAUAGGUUAAUCAAUUGAAAUAGAAAGCCAUAAAGAGAGCUAUCCUAGUUCCAUUUAUCAGGUGGAUCAGAGUGUGCAAAUGACUCAGCUGUCUCCUUGGCAAAAUGGCAUUAAUGAUAUUUAUUUCAUGACAUUAUUCUAUGGAUCAAACAAAAUUAUGAAUUGAGAAGUGCCUUGUAAACUCUAAGGCAUUAAAUAAAACUAAGAUGUUUUUCAAUAAUAAUUUUAUCUAGCUGAGGAAUUAUGAUUUAUGCAAGAUAUCAUUCCCAACAGUGAGUUUGAUGUCUAAGCGCGGGACCACUUCAGAACCAUAUAUUUAACCUAUAGGAAGUAGAGUGUCUUUCUGGUCCCCUCUCAGAUUAGCAACCUGCAAGAAAAGGAUCUACAGUUAGAGCCAUGCUAUAUUAGGUGGACAGUGUAAUCACUAGGACAAUUCUUAACACAAAGAAAGUGGAAAUAUGAAUCUGAAGAGGGGAAAUAUCAAAGGUACUCUUUAUCAAAAGUGAAACUUUGAAAUCCAUCUAUUUAAGGUUAAUCACUAUUCUUUUAGUUAAGCUGUUGUCAUCUCUAACUUUCCCUGAGUAGAAAAUAAUCUACACUUCCAACUAAGUUAUUCAUGGUCCAAUUUGUUCUCAGAAUACUAUAAUAGGCUUUGUGAAGAUAAGUUUUAUAAUAGGGAUUUAACAUAGUGAGAAGCUAAGACACAGAGGCCUUCAAACACAAAGAGUAUAUAUGUAUAUAAACUGCUCAGUCCCCUCCUCCUCUUCUUCCACCCUCCCUUGUCCCCUCUCCCGAAAGGACAUUCACCCCUAUUUAAAAUCUAACUUUUACAAAGGAUUCAGAUGAAAUGUCAUCUCAACAACUCCACAGUACAAUUGGUUUAUCUACUGCAGCGUUGCUUCAGUGCCAUUUCAACAGUGCUGGGAAAUGGGGGAAACUGCGUAAAGUACCACUGGAAGCAGGAAUGCUGUGAAAGGUUUUGAGAAAGAAACAUUCAAAAUCUUCCCUCUCGGCAGUUCCGCCUUGCUUGAUGACCACAUUUACAUACUGAGUACAUGCUCAAAGGGAACUCUACUUUACUGGAGAAAAUAAAACUUUCAGUUUGGCAUCUUGGGGAGGGGGCAAGGGAGAAGAAGAAGGAAGAGGAGAAUCACUGAUGAUUUACACACAUUAUUACUAUUAUACUUUGCAAGCUUCUGAUAUCUUAAACUAUUGAAAAUACUUAAAGUUGAUUUGGAGACACUAUUAAUUUAUUGCUUUUUCCUCUUUAGCUCUAUAAGAUCUUAUUUCCUCUAUUUAUAAUGUUUAUCUCAUUGUAUCCAAAUGAGUGCCUAUUUGUUUUACAAAGUAGAAAGGCACUUAAAGUGAAGCGCAAGUUUAUCUUCAUUCCAGACUUUUUUUUUAAGAUUCCAUAUUUUCCCAUUUUAAACAUUUCAAGACAGAAGCACAUGAAAUGUAAUAUUUACAAUACUUGAAACUCUUUAUCUAUUAAUGUAUUUUAAUAACUAGCUUCUCUUUUCCCUACAUGUUACAUCCCUGCUGAACCUAUUUUGUUGCAAGUCAGGCUAUCUUAUUUGCAUAUUUGUAACAAAGUAUAUAAAAGGAUGAAGAUGUGUAGUUCAUUGAGUUUUUAUAUUCAACACUUUUUUUAUUUAAAAAAUCUUACAAAACACGUAGAAUUAUAUAACAAAUAUACAUAUUAAAUAUUUUAAGCAAAGAAAAAUUUAAUUGUUUUUUAAUGUGCUUUUAAUGAUUUCUAGCACUCACACCUCCUUCCUUGCUUUCCAAACUGUUUAUACUGUCCCCAAUAACACUCAGUGGAAAGCUGUCAUUCCUGGCUAAAUCCUUACUUAGGGUGGAUGCUAUGCCUCCGUGAGACAGGGUCAGGGGGUCAAAAUCGAUUUUAGAGGCCACCUGGAGAGUCCAGGCCAUGAACUGACUCAAAAAAUUUAUAUCAGAGCCGGAAUAGUCCACCUCCCAGGGUCAGAUCUGGCCUGACACUCCAACCGCAGGCUGGGGCAUGCUAGACCGAGCUCAGAGAGAGGCCAGAGUUGUUGACCCUGCUAGCUGACCUCUUCAAACUUCAGGAGAAUUUUUUUGGCAGUUACCACGGUGACUGGGUACUCUAAAAGCUUAUCCUUCUUACUGAAAGGAGGAAAAAAAAAUUAGGAAAAAAUAUGUUAAAACCUACCUUGCAGAGAUGCCUAUCACAGUUAAAGUUUAAAAGGGGGGGGGGGAGAAAUUGAAGGAGCUCUAAAUUGUCUAUGACUUUUAUAUUAAUUUCCACUGCUGUUCCUAACAAAAUUGGAAUUUGUAAGUUCUUUCAAAAAAGCAAAAUUUCACAUUUGGAGCAGAUACUACUUUAAAAAAUUAAUAGCUGACAACAAUUUGAAUAAUGUAUUAAAAUACUUUUUCAACAAUGUAAUGUACUUGGAAUAUUCUAAUAUCUCUAUGAUUUUCUUUGAGAAUCAGCUUUGAAAUAAGAUCUAUCAUAAAUGCUAAUCUAAAAUAGUGUAACUAAAUUACCAUUUUUGCAUCAAAAACACAUGCAAUUUUUUUUUCUGGGAGAAAAGUAUCCAUUUUUGCUUGACUUGAAAUAAUAAAGUUAGAAGAAAAGCAAGAGGUCAUUAUUACAUGUUUCUAAAUUUUUUUACCAAGUGACUUAGUAAAAUAAUAUGUACAUUAAAAACAAUAUCAUGAAGAUACACUUAACAAAAGAAAGCUGAGAGGAAAAAAUUCAAGGUGCAACUUUUUUUAGAGCAAUUUAAAGCUUCAAAAAAAAAAAAAAAAGCCACAGAAUAUUUUUCUGUUAAUACCAAAUGCUAUCUUUUGAAUUUUGGUGACAGAUUGUAAUACAAAAUACUUUUAAAUGGCUCCUGUAUAUGACUUGAAAUUAGAUGAGAAUCAUAAUAAUUUAGAAGUCAAAUAUUCUUUAAUCAUAUUAAUACUUGCUUUAAAAAAAUGCCUGUGUAACGUAUAACCUUUUGUAAAGUUAAAUCUCUGACUUGUAGUGUUGUUACUACUCUGGCCCUCCCUGAAUUUUCUCAUCUACUUCUUACAUGACCCAGGCCCUGGAAGUCUUGAAAGGACCUUAUACAGAGUGUGUGUGUGUGUGUGUGUGUGUGUGUGUGUGUGUGUGUUGGCUAUAUAACAAAACAAUGUCUUUGGUCUAAAUAUCAUUUCUCAUCUUGACUCUAAGCCAAGUAAGGAAAAAUGAUGAAUUACAGAAAUGUAGUAACUGACACUCCAAAAAUGAAUACUGAAAUUUCAGAGGAAUGUUUUAAACUAAUCUUGAAUGUUCACUUUGCUGUGACCUAUUUUCACUGCUUUGUAAUCACCACUAAAUUCCUAGAACAGAAUGGACACAAAACCAAGUAUCUGUUAAUUAAUCUUAAUUUAAAAAUAUAUAUAUAUAAUUCAGAAUUUAAUUUCCUUUCUUGUCUUGUGUUCAAAACACCCAGUGAAAGGAAAGACUGGCAAUAUAUUUCGAGAUGAUUUUGUCAUGUGAUCCAACUGCACUUUACUAAAACACAGGUCUUUCAAUUAGAGAGUGUGGUGCUUGCUAUUGCAGAGUGGGCAAUGAGGUUGGUGAGUCACUACAACUCUGGUGCCAGCUCAUUCUCUAUGAUGAACUCAGACUGUCCUUCCCAGCCGGGAACUCUUGGCAAGCUUCCUUAAAGACCCGGAGGCUGGCAAAGCAUGAAGAACUAUCAAACAGGAAAUGAGGUCCUCCUCAGGUUUUGAAAAGAGAUGAUAGAAGACUUAAAGUGAAGCAAGCCAGGCCAGAAUCUUCCUAAACCACAAGCCUUAUCUUGAGUGAAACAUUAUUUCUAAGUUGGAUCUGAAAAGGAAAAGAAGUUAAAGUGUAAGACAAUGGACCAUUUGUACUCAGGAAAACAGUGCCAAGUCUUAGUUUGGUUUCCUCAAGUCAAAGUUAAUAUCUCUCCCAAGAAAAAACCAAAAAUCAUUUGUUGGUUUUCUGCAUAAAUUUCUACUAAAAUGACAAUGAGAUAAAUAGAUAUUUUAUUCAGUAACUCAUAGACUUGGAUUUUCUCUUAUGUUGAAAAUUCACCAAUUUGUCAUUAGAACUACAGGAUUCAGGAACUGGGAGGGAUUUAAGAGAUUAUCUAGUCCUACCUCUUUACCAUAUGCAAAAUCUGAAGCCAGGAACCUGAACUGCUGUCUUACAUACACAUUAUUAGUUACAUGCCUCAACUGGAAUUUAGAUCCUAUUUGGCAUUUCUACCCUGGUGUGUUCUCCACUGCAAUGAGCAGCCUCUUCACUGACAGAAAGGAUACUGAAAGCCCAUACCAGGAGACAUAUUCAGAGCCCUUGGAGACAGAGUUAUUCUGGGGCCAUGGUAUAAAACAAUUGUAAAGCUCAUUCAGGUUACACUUCCAGGAGACAGUUUUAGGUACCACACAAGCAGAAAUUCUGCAAAAUCAGGUAGUGAAAAAAUCCAGUAAUAUGUACUAUAGGAAGCUUCAAAAUUCCCAGGAACUUAUUAUAUCUGAUGGUAACAAAGGUGUGUUGUUUAUAUUAUUUCUCCAGCCAAUUGUUUUUAUUGACUGUUUUGGCUAAUAGGCACUGAUUGAUUUUCUUUUAAUUGGUACAGAGUCUCCACUCUGCCAGGUUUAUAAUUAAAUAUUGAAAAGCAAGGGUUUGGGUGUUAGUCUAAGCUUCCAGUGGUAUGAAAGUUUGUCCAAACAAUGCCUGCCAGUCCAUAGGGGCUUAGUCUGGUCUUUCUUCAAUAUUUCUCUAAUUUACUUCAGUUUUAACUUGUUUCUUUCUUCUCUUUUUUUUUUUUUUUUGGUCUUUUUGCCUUUUCUAUGGCUGCUCCGGGGCAUAUGGAGAUUCCCAAGCUAGGGGUCUAAUCGGAGCUGCAGCCACCGGCCUACACCACAGCUCACAGCAACGCCGGAUCCUUAACCCACUGAGCAAGGCCAGGGAUCAAACCCACAACCUCAUGGUUACUAGUCGGAUUCGUUAACCACUGCGCCACGAAGGGAACUGCAGUUUUAACUUGUUUCUAUUAGGAUCAGUGGAUCCUAAAGUGAAGUAAAAAGAAGCCUAUAGAAAAAUGUGGAAUUCAUUGCUGAUACCCCAAACUGCCACUUGUCAACAGCUGUAACAUUUACUCUCUAUACCAUGUAUUUUCAGUGCAGUCCCCCAAUUUCCCUUCUAACUUGUCAUGGCAUUUGGGAGAACUCAGGAUUAAUUCUGAGAAUCUGGCUCAGGGCCCCAGAACGGAAAAGAGUAAGGAAUAAUAAUUUAAAGGGAGGAAAAAAGGUACUAGGUAUACUGAGGGGUCAGUGGUUUUUAUAGGGAAAAAGGUUGGUGUUUAGGAAAACAGUUUUGUGUGAUUAAGAGGUGAUGGCAAUAGGAGUCAGGUAAUCCUUAGGUCCAUCUAGAAUU